CGCAGCUACGCGACGCCUGUCACUCACCGCCACUGCCUAGGGCCUGCGAACUCUCGCGAGAUCCAACAAGCUUCCGCCCCGCCUACCGGGCGUGCGCCGUGGGUGCGGCUGCUGAGGCGAAGCUCGGAGCCGCAGCUGUAAAAUGUACAUCUCAAGCACAUUAAAGAUGGUGACAGAGAAGAGUUAAGAAACACAGCACGUCCAGAGGAGCAAGGGACAAGAUCUAAAUAAUCUCAUGAAAUGUUCCUUGAUCCCAAGAUUUCUGCAGAAACUUUCAAGUCUGUGAUAUGCAUUCUUGCGCAUUGAGACAUCCAGAAUAUCAUAGCCUGUCCUUAACUGCAGAAUAAGCCGCUAAGUUGAUGCAAACGCUUUGACAUUUUUAUUGUUUCUUAAAAACCAAAUAAAAAUUUCAGUUUCUCAUUCA
Molecule: non-coding RNA, 424 nt
Organism: Callithrix jacchus (white-tufted-ear marmoset)
Lineage: Eukaryota; Metazoa; Chordata; Mammalia; Primates; Cebidae
Source: RefSeq, a predicted model, not a curated record